CAGCAGAGUGUACAGAGUUGUUUUUAUUCAUUCUUUCUGCAAUUAAUUAAUUGUAUUGAUAUUUAUUUUUAAUAUCUGGAAAUUUAUUUGUUACCAUGGUACAUGAAAUAUAAAAUUCCUCAUUGCAAUCAAUUCAUUUAAUUAAUUAAAACCAUAGAUAUAGUGCCCAUGAUCCAAAAAUAUUAAGAGAGUUCACAGUCCACUAAAAUGCAAGUACAUUCAAACUAAUACAAUAAAAUAUACAUCAGUAUUCACAAAUGGCUAAAGUGCAGCAAGUCAUACUAAUGGACGCAAAGGCCUGAGUAAAUAAAUUAGGUAUUUAGUAAGUGCUGGAAGCCCAUUAUCAUUGGUUAUUGUCUAAUAUCUAAGGGGAGAUGAUUCCAUAAAGUGGGUGCCAUGGCAGAGAAGGCCCUUCCCCUAGAUACGACCAGAUGAGCAUUGGCAGGCUGCAACAUAACCAGGAGGGCCUCACUUUCAGAUCUCAGUGACCAGGUAGAUCUGUGCAGAAGAAAGGGCUCUCUCGGGUAACCCAGUCUUAGGUUGCUUGGAGCAUUUACAUCAUCAGCAAAACGGUAAACCUGGCUUUGCAGCAAAGCGGCAGCCAGUGCAGAUCUUUCAAAAGUGACGUUAUAUAUCCACAGUAGGCAGCCUCACUUAACAACCAAGUGAUGACAUUUAUUUAUUUAUUUAAAAUAUUUCUAGCCCACUCUAUUUUUUCCCCAGAAACUCAGAGCGGCGAACAACCUAAAACCAGUACAUAAAAAAGAAUAAAACAAUAAGAUACCAAAUCUACACAGAUCGAAUACAGUUAAAAAAUACAAUAAUUAUAUACUUGUUACCAUGAUUUAUUAAAAUUCCUAUUCUACGUAUAGUUAAACGCAACCCGAAAAAGGAACGUCUUCACCUGACGGCGGAAUGCCGCAAGUGAAGGAGCCAACCAAACCUCAAUCAGUAAAGCAUUCCAGAGACUAGGAGCUAUAACCGAGAACGCCCUAUUUCUGGUUCCUGACAAGUGAACUUGUGAGACUGGAGGGAUCGUAAGAAGUAUUUCUUCCGAGGACCUCAAAGAAUGGGAAGGUUCAUAACGAGACAACCGGUCUGACAAAUAGACAGGGCCCAAGCCGUGUAGGGCUUUAAAGGUUAACACCAGCACUUUGAAUUGAGUCCGGAAGCGAAGCGGCAGCCAGUGGAGUUGUUGUAACAAAGGCGUUGUAUGGGCUCGAAGGCCUGCUCCCGUCAACAUUCUCACUGCUGCACGUUGAACCAAUUUAAGCUUCCGAACUGUCUUCAAAGGCAGCCCCACGUAGAGUGCAUUGCAGUAAUCCAACCGGGAUGUAACUAAGGCAUGUGUUACUCUCGUCAGAUCGGACAUCUCUAGAAACGGACGCAGUUGGCCAACCAGUCUUAACUGGGCGAAAGCGCUCCUGGACACUGCAGAAACCUGUGCUUCAAAAUUCAAAGCCGAGUCCAGAAGCACACCCAAACUGCGAACCUGAGUUUUUAGGGGGAGUGUAACCCCAUCCAACACAGGCAAAUUCCCUAUUUCCAGGUUUGUCCCACGACUGACGCAGAGCAUUUCUGUCUUGUCUGGAUUUAGUUUCAGCUUGUUCUGACAUUCCACACUAGCUGCAGCUUCUGGACCAGCCUUCAGGGCAGCCCCACAUAGAGUACAUUACAGUAAUCCAGUCUUGAGGUUACUAACAUCCAGAUCACUGUGGACAGGCUGUCCAGAAGCAUUCCCUGUUCAGAAGCAGUUAUAGCUGGCAUAGCAGCCACAGCUGGAUCAGUGCAUUCCUAGCCAUUGAGGCCACCUGGAUCUCACCUGACAACCUCCUACAGACUUUGUAUCCAUUCCUUAAGGGAGCAUUCAACCCUGUUUAAAACAGGCAAAUUACCCAAUUCGCAGACACAAGAACGCCCCCAGCCAAAGCCUCCGUCUUGUCAUGAUUCAGCCUCAGGUUAUUGGCCCUCAUCCAGCAAACCAAUACAUCCAGGUACCAAUCCAGAACUUGCAUGACCACUCUUGACUAAGAUGUACCCAAGAAAUAGAAUCGGGUGUUUAUUGCAAUAAGAUUUAUAAAAGUGACUGUCAAAGCAAGCUAACAUUUUGCAUGAUAUAAAAGGCUCAGGCUGCAAUUCUUGACACACUUACUUGGGAGUAACUCCCACUGAGCACAGUGGAAGUUACUUAUGAAUAAACAUGUAUAGGUUGAAUUGUAACUCUCAUUAACGUUUGGAUAUUUUUACUGAAAUUAGCCAAUCCACUUGGACGUUGAGCUCCAAAAAAGUGAUCAUGGUGUCUCCCCUGCCAGGAGUUCUUGGAAACUGCACACUGGAAGGAUUACAUAAUGAAGUCUAUUUAUAGAUCACUGAAUAAUUAAUACCAGUACAGUCUUCAUCCACUCCUACAAUGGGAGGAUAACACCGAAUCCAGCCCUCUACCUUCUUUUGUCCCAGCCUCGUCCUCCAUUGGCGUGCAGCCCCCAGAAGGCUGCCCAUGGCCUCAGGGCCUCGGACUAGGGAAAAAGUUUUCCUGACCUUACAAGAUGCCAUUCUAGCGUAUUUGACACCCGGAGCAGAUCAUUUUUUUAACACCCCCCUCCUCUAUACGACAAAAUUAUUUUCAGUAAUAAUCAUGAAAUGAAACGAAUAAUAAUGGCCAGAAAAGAAACGCAGACAGUGAAAAAUUUCUUUUAUGGAACUUUGUAUAUAUAAUCGUGCCAGU
Rhineura floridana is the source of this 2725-nucleotide long non-coding RNA. RefSeq lists it as uncharacterized. The record is from RefSeq and is a predicted model, not a curated record. The transcript is spliced from 3 exons. Lineage: Eukaryota; Metazoa; Chordata; Lepidosauria; Squamata; Rhineuridae.